RNAcentral lists this ribosomal RNA (691 nucleotides) under uncultured bacterium. Its description in RNAcentral is "bacterial SSU rRNA". It matches the Rfam family "Bacterial small subunit ribosomal RNA", at positions 88 to 814 of the family's 1533-position model. The record is from RNAcentral.
GGAGUGAGCGGCGGACGGGUUAGUAACGCGUGGGAACGUACCCAGAUCUAAGGAAUAGCCACUGGAAACGGUGAGUAAUACCUUAUACGCCCUUCGGGGGAAAGAUUUAUCGGUGACGGAUUAGCCCGCGUUAGAUUAGAUAGUUGGUGGGGUAAUGGCCUACCAAGUCUACGAUCUAUAGCUGGUUUUAGAGGAUGAUCAGCAACACUGGGACUGAGACACGGCCCAGACUCCUACGGGAGGCAGCAGUGGGGAAUCUUGGACAAUGGGCGCAAGCCUGAUCCAGCCAUGCCGCGUGAGUGAUGAAGGCCUUAGGGUCGUAAAGCUCUUUCGCCAGAGAUGAUAAUGACAGUAUCUGGUAAAGAAACCCCGGCUAACUCCGUGCCAGCAGCCGCGGUAAUACGGAGGGGGUUAGCGUUGUUCGGAAUUACUGGGCGUAAAGCGCGCGUAGGCGGAUUAGUCAGUUAGAGGUGAAAUCCCGGGGCUCAACCCCGGAACUGCCUUUAAUACUGCUAGUCUUGAGUUCGAGAGAGGUGAGUGGAAUUCCGAGUGUAGAGGUGAAAUUCGUAGAUAUUCGGAGGAACACCAGUGGCGAAGGCGGCUCACUGGCUCGAUACUGACGCUGAGGUGCGAAAGUGUGGGGAGCAAACAGGAUUAGAUACCCUGGUAGUCCACACCGUAAACGAUGAAU